Long non-coding RNA from Homo sapiens (human), 400 nucleotides. Lineage: Eukaryota; Metazoa; Chordata; Mammalia; Primates; Hominidae. The record is from Ensembl.
AAGGCUUGCGAGCAGAAUGCCUUCGCGAUGGACGCCCGCAUUCCACCCCCUUGACCGCUGGGACCCCUAGUGGCGGGUGGGUGGAGCGCGCUCCAUUUACCUGCUGGUUACCUCGUGAGGCGCCUCAGUGAAAUACUUCCAGGCCUUCGAAAGGCCAUCCUUUGGACACAUGUAAAAAGCUGUCUUGUUGGCCUGUUAUUCCCACUGACCCGUCUGAGUGAUCACCCAGGAGCGCGGCGGCAGCAAGCAGAGCUCACCGGAUUUGGGACAAGGAUUUUAAAGGCAGCUACAAAGCUGAGCUCUAUUUGCUGAUGAUAGUCUCUGUUCAGCUGUUUAAAAUGACUGUCUGACUCACCAUGGUAAUUUUUCACAAAUUAAAGACACAUUUUGGGUUGUGCAA